This 1737-nucleotide ribosomal RNA is filed under the name Salmonella enterica subsp. enterica serovar Alachua. RNAcentral describes it as "partial 23S ribosomal RNA". It matches the Rfam family "Bacterial large subunit ribosomal RNA", at positions 1223 to 2925 of the family's 2925-position model. The record is from RNAcentral. Lineage: Bacteria; Pseudomonadati; Pseudomonadota; Gammaproteobacteria; Enterobacterales; Enterobacteriaceae.
GUUGGGUAGGGGAGCGUUCUGUAAGCCUGUGAAGGUGGCCUGUGAGGGUUGCUGGAGGUAUCAGAAGUGCGAAUGCUGACAUAAGUAACGAUAAAGCGGGUGAAAAGCCCGCUCGCCGGAAGACCAAGGGUUCCUGUCCAACGUUAAUCGGGGCAGGGUGAGUCGACCCCUAAGGCGAGGCCGAAAGGCGUAGUCGAUGGGAAACAGGUUAAUAUUCCUGUACUUGGUGUUACUGCGAAGGGGGGACGGAGAAGGCUAUGUUGGCCGGGCGACGGUUGUCCCGGUUUAAGCGUGUAGGCUGGUUUUCCAGGCAAAUCCGGUUCACUUUAAAACUGAGGCGUGAUGACGAGGCACUACGGUGCUGAAGCAACAAAUGCCCUGCUUCCAGGAAAAGCCUCUAAGCAUCAGGUAACAUCAAAUCGUACCCCAAACCGACACAGGUGGUCAGGUAGAGAAUACCAAGGCGCUUGAGAGAACUCGGGUGAAGGAACUAGGCAAAAUGGUGCCGUAACUUCGGGAGAAGGCACGCUGACACGUAGGUGAAGUGAUUUACUCAUGGAGCUGAAGUCAGUCGAAGAUACCAGCUGGCUGCAACUGUUUAUUAAAAACACAGCACUGUGCAAACACGAAAGUGGACGUAUACGGUGUGACGCCUGCCCGGUGCCGGAAGGUUAAUUGAUGGGGUCAGCGCAAGCGAAGCUCCUGAUCGAAGCCCCGGUAAACGGCGGCCGUAACUAUAACGGUCCUAAGGUAGCGAAAUUCCUUGUCGGGUAAGUUCCGACCUGCACGAAUGGCGUAAUGAUGGCCAGGCUGUCUCCACCCGAGACUCAGUGAAAUUGAACUCGCUGUGAAGAUGCAGUGUACCCGCGGCAAGACGGAAAGACCCCGUGAACCUUUACUAUAGCUUGACACUGAACAUUGAGCCUUGAUGUGUAGGAUAGGUGGGAGGCUUUGAAGUGUGGACGCCAGUCUGCAUGGAGCCGACCUUGAAAUACCACCCUUUAAUGUUUGAUGUUCUAACGUGGACCCGUAAUCCGGGUUGCGGACAGUGUCUGGUGGGUAGUUUGACUGGGGCGGUCUCCUCCUAAAGAGUAACGGAGGAGCACGAAGGUUGGCUAAUCCUGGUCGGACAUCAGGAGGUUAGUGCAAUGGCAUAAGCCAGCUUGACUGCGAGCGUGACGGCGCGAGCAGGUGCGAAAGCAGGUCAUAGUGAUCCGGUGGUUCUGAAUGGAAGGGCCAUCGCUCAACGGAUAAAAGGUACUCCGGGGAUAACAGGCUGAUACCGCCCAAGAGUUCAUAUCGACGGCGGUGUUUGGCACCUCGAUGUCGGCUCAUCACAUCCUGGGGCUGAAGUAGGUCCCAAGGGUAUGGCUGUUCGCCAUUUAAAGUGGUACGCGAGCUGGGUUUAGAACGUCGUGAGACAGUUCGGUCCCUAUCUGCCGUGGGCGCUGGAGAACUGAGGGGGGCUGCUCCUAGUACGAGAGGACCGGAGUGGACGCAUCACUGGUGUUCGGGUUGUCAUGCCAAUGGCACUGCCCGGUAGCUAAAUGCGGAAGAGAUAAGUGCUGAAAGCAUCUAAGCACGAAACUUGCCCCGAGAUGAGUUCUCCCUGAGACUUAGAGUCUCCUGAAGGAACGUUGAAGACGACGACGUUGAUAGGCCGGGUGUGUAAGCGCAGCGAUGCGUUGAGCUAACCGGUACUAAUGAACCGUGAGGCUUAACCUUACAACGCCGAAG